Molecule: long non-coding RNA, 1550 nt
Organism: Nothoprocta perdicaria
Lineage: Eukaryota; Metazoa; Chordata; Aves; Tinamiformes; Tinamidae
Exons: 2
Source: RefSeq, a predicted model, not a curated record
UUUUAAUUUUAGAGUGAAUGUUCCAGAAAAUGACAGAGGUUUCAGCUGGGGAAAAAAGAAUCUGAAUUUGUAUUUUGUAGAGCAGAUGUUUCAUCCUAAAUUUUCUUCAGAAUAUUCUUAUAAAUGCCUACUCAAAAUCUGGAAAAUUGUCAGGUGGUAGUUUCCUGAUGUCACCAGCAGGUGCAAGUUUUUGUGAUGCCUUUAUCUUUUGAGAAGCACAGGAGAAUGGAAUGUGACUGACCAACCAUGUCCAAAACUAAACAAAACCCAAACCUACAGCUAAACCAAUGCAUUAGGGGCCUAUAUGUCUCCAAAAACAGCUUAUCAAUGUUUCCAGAAACUGCCUUUUUAACUUGUUCUUCAGUAUGAAAAUUAAGUCUUCUCCCUCUUCCUUAACACAAAACUGAACAUUGAUACAGUUCAUAUUGAGAGGUUUUAAACUCUAGCUCAAUAACGAGUCGAAGGAGUUAUGAAGAGAAGCCUUGUCAAUGCGUGGAUCACGACUUGCUGACACCUGCACCACAGUGUUCCUGCUGGAGGGAAGAAAUGUGGUGAAAUGUGAAGAUCUGGGAAUUGAAGUGGCAGAUUAAACGUGCCCCAACCAAGCCAAAGGCUUCUGUUCUUGUUCAGUGUAGGGCCUGAUCUCUCUCCUCAGAUAUACCCUGCUGUACUGCAAAACUGGAUUUGAGAAAGUUUAAACAGUAGAAUGUCGUUGUAACUGCAUGUGUUUGUGUGAGGAAUGCAUUGCCUGGAAACUGUCUGUGUAUACGUCCGUAGGACCCAAGGCUGGUUUUCACCACCUGAAACAGGGUACUGAACAUUUCUGAAUGAGCAUAUCCUUCUAACGCAGAAGAGAAAAAUAAUUUGAGCAUCCAUCUUUUCAUUAGUCUGAAACUCAAGUCCGAAACUUGGCCUUCAGCUACUUCUGCUCCAAAAACACCUGYRCACAACCCUCCAACCCUGCUUGUCUCCCUGUCGACCCCUUCCCACCACCAGCUCUUCUGCAGUGACCUCCUCCGACCGUGGGUGCAUUGRUUGGAUCAGGCACUCCUCCUCCCUGGUGUUGUAAACUGUAGGGCUGCCGAGGGCUGCAUCGCUGRUGUAACUUAGGAGCUAAUGGCUGAGAGCUCAAAGUCCACAAUAAAUUAUAGACCUUUUGAAAAAAGCAAGCCUCGUUUCCUUCACUAYGUUUUUGCAAGUGGCUGCAAGACAUCCAACUAACAUAGCAGAGACCAAACUUAGCUUUGGGCUGGAGCAUUAGCUUUGUCCAGRCAUUCCCWUCCUUUCUGCCUGCUGCAUUUUUCUUCURUGUAACCUCCUAMCAAGAAACAAUGGCAGAAACUAACAGCAGAAUCAAUAACAACUUCACAUGUUUUCAUCACUCCACAGMUGGCUAAGACGAAGGGGAUGUUCUGCCACCUUCCAGAGUAUAGGACAACACUGCAGGAGUUCCAUUGCUCAGGCAUAAGGCUGAGGACUGAGCACUGAUCACUUUAUAAUUACAGAACUAACCUCCCAUAGGGGAUUGAUGUAGGGUAACAGAAUUUAAG